This 1740-nucleotide long non-coding RNA is filed under the name Brassica napus (rape). RNAcentral describes it as "long non-coding RNA (BNAP_LNC025367)". The record is from RNAcentral. Lineage: Eukaryota; Viridiplantae; Streptophyta; Magnoliopsida; Brassicales; Brassicaceae.
AGCGUUCGAGAAUUAGGACAAGAUCAAGAUCUAGACAUAACCAAUUGCUUAUCCGAAGUAGUAAAAGUAAAGAAGGAAGAAGAAGAAGAAGAUUGCUGUAAGACUCCGACACGUCUUGAUCAAAUUCUCCCGGCGAUCCCACAAACCUGUCCGCCGGCGCCGAGGAAACCUAAGGGAGUCCCGUCGAGGAGUUUGAAGGUUAGAAAUUGUUAUAAAAGCAGGAGAAUGAUCAUUCUGAAUGUUUCUAGAGAAUUCGACUGUAUGUUUCAUUCAACAUCUCUGUGUAACAAGAUUAAAAAGGCCAGACAUAUUUGAUGUUUCAUAUGGUAUCAUGUAUGUAUAACGUACGUAUAGCUCAUGUAACCAAAUUGUAAUAAACUACGUACGAGUUAUAUAAUAAUGUAGUGACAUUUUAUUUUUAUUUUAUUUUUAACAUAUUUUUUUCUGUUGCUUUUUUUAUUUCGUUUGGAAAGUGACAAGGCUUUUCAAAAUUUGGAAUAUUGUCCGUGAAAUAUUUAGAGGCGCAUACGCUUUUUGCAUGCUUUUUUCUCGUGAUUUUUGUAAAUUGGAAAUAAUCGGUAAUUAGAAUACAUGAACUAUAAGCAUUGGAAAGCAGAAUAGAGUUGGUGAAUACUUUGGUUAUGUAAAGUGGAAUCUAGUCUUGAAACAAUAUUUAAAACUAAUGACAUUUUGUUAACUAAAAGAAGAUUUAAAUGCUUCGAUCACUGAAAUCAAGGCAAGCGUGUUUUCCCAUUUUGCUUAUCCAAGGGCCAAAGGCUAUGCAAUUAAUUAUUCUUAAAAAUGCAAAUUUGGCCGUAUAAAGAUUUUAUAACAUAGUGAUAGUAUUUUUUUUCUCAAUUUACAUAUAUCCAAGCCUACUUUGUCGUUGUACUCGACAUCCAAGUAGAAGAAUUUUUAGUCCAGACUCCAGAGGUAUUUGCAUUGGUCAAUUUGCAGUAAUGAUCCAUCUAAGAACUACUUUAACUCUUUUAAGAGAGAACCCGUAUAUGUAAUAUGUUCUAUUGUCUAUACAACAAGAAGUUGUAUUUGAUGGAGUUUAAAAGAACCACAUUUUGUAUGAAUAUUAUUAUAACUGAACCUCCUUGAAACCCCCGAUAUUAUAAACAUGUACAUUCAGUGAACUCAUUAUAUCAUAACAAACAGAAAGACAAUUUCCAUGAUCUUCAAAAUCUGGAUAUAUAUAAUUAAAUUUACAAAAUACACAAUUCAAAACAACACGUACGUAGUGUUACCACUUACCAUUAUAUAAACCAAACUAAGCCUUCAAAGCCAUAAACUUCUUCUCUGCCUCUUUCUUUUCUCUCUCAUCAGAACUAUUUAGCUACCUUCCCUUUUACGUUUUUCUUCUGAAAGAUGAGUUUCGCUGAUGCUGGAAGUCGUCUCUCCGAUCAAAACAAUCUCCGCGAAACGGAACUAGGGUUUCCGGACCGGAGCGUUCGAGAAUUAGGACAAGAUCAAGAUCUAGACAUAACCAAUUGCUUAUCCGAAGUAGUAAAAGUAAAGAAGGAAGAAGAAGAAGAAGAUUGCUGUAAGACUCCGACACGUCUUGAUCAAAUUCUCCCGGCGAUCCCACAAACCUGUCCGCCGGCGCCGAGGAAACCUAAGGGAGUCCCGUCGAGGAGUUUGAAGGUUAGAAAUUGUUAUAAAAGCAGGAGAAUGAUCAUUCUGAAUGUUUCUAGAGAAUUCGACUGUAUGUUUCAUUCAACAUCUCUGUGUAAC